CGCGCAGGCGGCUUUGUAAGUCCGACGUGAAAGCUCCUGGCUUAACUAGGAGAGGCCGUUGGAAACUGCAGAGCUUGAGGUUGGGAGAGGAAAGUGGAAUUCCCGGUGUAGUGGUGGAAUGCGUAGAUAUCGGGAGGAACUCCAGUGGCGAAGGCGACUUUCUGGCCUACACCUGACGCUGAGGCGCGAAAGCGUGGGGAGCGAACA
Molecule: ribosomal RNA, 207 nt
Filed under: uncultured bacterium
Lineage: Bacteria
Description: partial 16S ribosomal RNA
Rfam family: Bacterial small subunit ribosomal RNA
Source: RNAcentral